This 13430-nucleotide long non-coding RNA is filed under the name Ananas comosus (pineapple). RNAcentral's name for it is "long non-coding RNA (ACOM_LNC008328)". Lineage: Eukaryota; Viridiplantae; Streptophyta; Magnoliopsida; Poales; Bromeliaceae. The record is from RNAcentral.
UAUAUUCACACCCUUUUAUAUAGUACUCUUUCUACUGUUCAUGAUAUGAACUUUACAAACAGAAACAUUGGAGGAUAUAUAUUUUUUUCUAUCUAUUAUUUUUAUCUAUUUGGCUUUGAUCUUUUUAUCAUCGGGUGUUGAAAGAGUCUUCGUCAACCUCCCUCACGAUCGUGCUCGCAAUAGGAGGAAUUCCGGUAGUACCUUGGGGCGGUGUUUCCGGUUAAUCCCGCACGUAAGGACGGAAAUACGCCUUAGGGCAGUGCCUCGCACGCUUCCGGAUCAAUUAAAUAUUUAUUUGAAUUUGCGUUUAUAUGUAAGUUUGUAUUUAUUUAUUUUUAUAAUAAUAUUUAGUUAAAUUUAAAUCACAAUUAAAUUUUCGUUGCGGUAUUUAUUCUAACACAAAUUAAAUAGAGUUAUGUACGAAGUGGCAGAAGAUUUAUUAAGCUGAGUCACAAUCCAACUGUACCUUUUUAAGUGAAUUAAUUACGUAUUUUUAACUGUGCUUUUGGGAUUAAAGAUACCGGCGGGACGGGGGCGGUCGAGGAAGAGAAGCCGAUCCUGGUCUUCCGCAGCUCGAGGGCGAAGAGGAGCAUCGGCAACCACACGGCGGCCUGCAGCACGGAGAGCUGCACCACCAGGUCCUGCGCCCACUUGCCGUACAUGGCCCGCACCAGCGGCACCCCGACCACCAGCGUGUUGUUCAGCGCCGCCAGAGCGAACCCCGUCACCGCCCACCCCCCGCCCGAUCCGCCUUCCUUCUUCUCCCUCGCCGUCCUGCCGACGCACGCCGCCGCCGCCCACACGCACGCCAGCGCGACGACCGCCAGCGCCUUCGCGAUGGCGUCGGCCGCCAGCACGCGGUAGUUCAUGGCCAGCGUGUUGGUGUGGACAGUGAAGUCGAAGCCGAAGAAGGGGAGGAUGAAGAGCGUCACCAGGCGGUUGAUGGCGCCGCAUUGCUCCGGCGUGAACACCUUCCACCACCUCACCGACCCGUAGCCGAGCACCAGCGCCACGUACAGCGGCGCCAUCGCCGCCGCCACCUUAUACACGUCCCCCCACCCUAUCAUCCCAGAUCACUCUCUCUCUCUCUCUCUCUCCAGUGAGUUACCUUACGUUCCUACUAUUGCUUUAGAUAGAGUGGUUAUAUAUAUAGAGUGCGUAUUGCUUUAGAUAGAGUGGUUAUAUAUAUAGAGUGCGUCUGGUAUGGUUUUAGAAGCACGGAGCAUUCUGUGCUUCCAAGUUAUUUUCGAUGUUUGGACUUUCGAAUUGACGAUCGGCUCAGUUAGACUUGAUCUAGAGAAUUUGAAGUAUCAAGAAAAUAAAUUUAGCGAUUUUUCGAUAUUAUUUGCCUAGUGAUCGAAGUGGCUCAAAAUCAAUGACUGAAAAUAAAAAUCUUACAAAAUAUGAUAAUAUGACAUUAAAAUUUUAGAUCAAAGUUACUGAUCUUGUUUUGUAUGGUAUAAAGAAUUCUCUAUCAAAAUUUCAUGUGAUUUGGAUAUUUCUACACCGUUAAACUUGCAACCGGCUCACUACGGCCAUUAAAAUUAUUGAUUUUGAGCCCCUUCGAUCACUAGGCAAAUGAUAUCAAAAAAUCACAAAAUUUAUUUUCUAGAUACUUCAAAUACUCUAGAUCAAUUCUAACGGAGCCGAUCGUCAAUUCGAAAGUCCGAACAUCGAAAACAACUUGAAAGCACGGAGGGCUCUAUACUUCCAGAAACAUACCAGCCCUCUCUCUCUCUCUCUAUAUAUAUAUAUAGAACUAGGCUGGAAUACUAUCGAUAGCACCAAGGGCUUGGUGCUAUUAGGUUUUUAGGCUUUAGAUUGAGAAAUGUGCGUUUAGAAUGAUGUGGGCCUCUUAGGGUUGAUUAGGUGGUUGGUUAAAUAGUAUAAUCUAACGGAUAAAAAUAAUCAAAGGAUUAAAUCUAACGGUGAAAAACUAAAUAGCAACAAGCCCUUGGUGCUAUCGAUAGUAUUCCAGCCAUACUAUAUAUAUAUAUAUAUAUAGCAUGCAAAGGGUUGAGGGUUGGUAUAUAUGUAUACAUAUGCGUAACGUGGUUCAUGCAUGAUACCAGCAGCACUGGAGCCACAAGUUUUAUGUAGAAUUAAGGCGCACAAUGGAUGGUCAACAAAAUUUUAAACAUCUCUAUUAGCUUUAGUUUUCCCAUAUUUUAUAAAUUAUACCAAAGUUAAACUCUGCCUUACAAGAAAGAUAAAUAUAUAUAUAUACUAGUAAAUUUUAAUUCUGACUCGUUGGUUAACUAAAAUAUUCUUAAUUACUCAAAAAAUUUUAACAAUGAAGGACACUAGAUAAUAAUUUACAAUAUUUUUCUUCACUAAUAUAAAGAAAUUAAUUUGGGGAUCAAGUAGGGCCAGUUACCGCUGCAUGUUAUAUCGUUUUCUGGUAGAUUAAAUUUUUAAAGAAACACAAUAAUUUUGGAUUUAUCAUACAUUUCCGAAGGGAAAAGUGCUUUGGAACAUUAGAAAGGUGAGUGAGUGAGGUGUGAGGGAGAGAGAAGGCAUAAAAUUAAAGGCUAAUCUUGUAGUGGAUGCGCAUGUAUAUGCUUAUGCAAUGUUGUCCAUUAAUGCAUGUGAUAUAGAAGUAGAGACAAAAUUGGAAAAGGAUACUUAAAAAGAGACAAACUUUAAUUAAGAGUCCUAAUGAAAAAGAGCUAGCUAUACUAUGGUUACCCAAGCCAUAUAUUCUAUCAAAAUGAUGCUCUACUCCAUUUGCAAUGAUACUUUUGGCUAAACCAAGAUACAGUUGAUGUGAACAUGAAGUACUGCAUAUGAAUUUGAUGUUGCAUGCAUAUGCCUUGUGUGUGCUUGGCCAAGGAUGUUGAGUUUUAAUGAAUUUCUCUCCUCGUACUAAAAUAAUUUCUUAUCUUUUACCAAACAGCAAAACAAAAUAAAUUUUUUCAAUCCAACUUCGAUUUAACGCAAACAAAAAUUUCAUCCGAUCGAAUUUCGUUAAAUUUAUUCUAUUCAAGCAUUUUGCCAAGUGUCUGCAAGUGGAAUAAAGCCCUUCAUUACAAGCUCGAUCAUCAUACUACUUUUUCACUUUUUUUUACCAUUAAUUUUCGACUCGUGCCCUAACCUUUUAGCAUUUGUUGUCAAUGCAUAAAAAAGUAAUCUACAACUAUGAAAUUUCAAUUUAAAAAAUGAUUCUUUUGUGCCAAAAACAACCAAACAAUGUGCCAUUCCUAGUCAUCUACCACAACUAUAUAUAUAUAUAUAUAUAUAUAUAUAUAUAUAAUGCCUAAAGGUUUAUUUGUUUGGAUUGAAUGGAGCUUGUAAAUUUAAACACAAAUAGAUCAGUUUCUUGUUCUUUGUCAAAGUCCUACCAUUAACUUUCGCUGUAAAUGCCAUUAUAAACAUAAUAGGUUCCAAAUUAAAACCCGAACUUUGGGAGCUUAAUUACUAAUAAGAGCGAAGCCUUAUUUGUUAAAAUAUAAAAAUAUAUAAACACCGUUCUCUACAGCUUAAGGUUUUAGAGUACAACAGUUGUUUCACAUUAUUCUUGUUUUUGCUGGUUAGCUUGUAAUAAUACAACGGAUUACAGAAUAACAACAUCUUGGGAAAAAAAAAAAGAAGAAGACACAAAUAGAAAAAGCACAAAGACCAAACAAGACUAAGCUACUUAAUAUGUUUUUCAAAGCAUUGGACUGCUUAAUCUCCUAGCUAGCAUAGAAACUUUUCCAUAUCCAGGAUAACAUGCACUCAAAUAUAUAUAUAUAUGCAUGUCUUAAUUUGGCCAUUUAUGCUGAGCUUAAGAGCACUUCUAGCAGUAUCUGGCUUUUAUACUAUAGUAAAUGGGCAGCUAAGAGAGAGGGGACAGUAAGAAUAAUGGAGCACUAAUGAAGUGCUUUGUUGAGCCUUACAUAGUUACAUAUAUACUUAAUUGUCUAUACUAGGAAGCAGACAAAAUAAGGUAGUUUGGCCAUAGGAUCUUUCUCAUUCUUUUGUCAUUUAAACCUUUUGGCAUCUCUUCUUGAACCAUUGUCGUUUCAUCUAAAUAGUGCCUAAAAAAUUGAUAUGAUAAUAAGACAAUAUAUUCACAAAUAGUCUUAGGCCAAAUUUGAUAAUGUGAUCGCUAAAAGCAUCUUUUUACACAAUAAAAAAUGCGAAAAAAAAAAAUCUAAAAGUGCUUAUGAUAAAUCUUUCCUCCUCCGAUGCUUUAAAAUUCAACUGCUACCGGAGAAGCAUGCAUGUAGCGACAUUCUUGUCUGAUAGUGCUUGCAACGACAAUUAUAUAAUAUAAAGAAGUAAAGAUUGAAAACAACUCUUUUGAAAUUCUAAACUUCUAUAGUAUAAUGGUGCUUUUAGCCAUCAUGUCAUCAAACUAGAUCUUAAUAUCUCUAUUCACAUAAGUGUUGAAGACCAUGGAAGCCAUGGCAUGUGCACCCGCGGAAAAAAACAUAAUAAUAGUGAUAAUAAUAAUAGAAAGGCCGAAAAAAAAAAGAAGAAGAACCCACACCAUUAAAGAGUGAGUGUGGGAAUUAAGCUUAGGACUGCUUGGAAUCAAGAGCACUUUGGAUCGACUUCGAUGCCCUAACACCCAAAAGAGUCGAUAAGAUAUGUAACGGUACUAAAAUAGUUUAGUACUAAAUUAAUGGUAUUUAUGCUUUAAAUGAUAAUUGGUAUCAAAUUCCUUAUCAAUUUCUUGUUGAGAAGAAUGACUAAUUAAACUUAGUGGAUUUCCAAAUCAUCUACCAUUCGAGAAUUUUUCUAGCGAAAUGUUUAGGGACGAAAACAACCCAAGCACAUAAAGAGAGGCUAAUAUAUUAUAUAUGUUGCCCUUCCAAGUCAUCUAUCACAAAGUGAUGCUUCUUGUAUCUUUCCAUGUUGAUGCGCUAUAAUGUUUAGUUCUUUCCAUGAAGAAUAGAGCGAAACAUGAAGAGUGAAAAACUUUUAACAAAGAAAAGGACUUAAUUAGGACAUGAACAGUCCUAGAACUUAACAAUGCCUAUUGCUCUACAUCUACUUCUUAAUUCUAGUCUAAUUUCAGUUCUGAGCCAUGAUUGAGCUCCUCAAAUGAAUUAUAUGCAAAAGUGUAUAGUUUAGUAAGUGUUGCAAUCAAAUAUUCCACGUAUAUGAAGACGUCCCAUUUUUCUCAAAGCUUUUGCUUGAGAGAUCCUAUACUACGUACGGAUCACAUUUAUUAAAUUAAAUUUUAACCCAUCUAUAAGUGAUUGCAGUGUAUAAAGUGUGCACACACCCAUUGAUUGGUCUCAGUUGGUUAAGGUGCACUUACAGGAUGCAUGUUUGGUGCUAUGUAAUUGCAAGUGUACUGUAGUUGUAAGUGCAAGUUUUUUUUUUUUUUUCUUUUUUUUUUUGGAGAGAUAACUAGCACAGUCUGCUUCAUUUAUUUCAUUUAGAAAUAAAUUUAGUUGGAAAAGUGAAUCAAUUAUGAUUUGAAUUUGGAACCUUCGAUACCAACCACCAAGCCCUUUGUCAUUUGCUCUGGGCAUGAUUGGUGAUUGCAAGUAUAUUAAGUUAGAGUUUUAUAUCCCUAAUCAAAUCAAGACCAAGCCCAACCUUUUGAGAGCCUAAGCUGGUCGUGUCAACCGGCUAAGAUUCAACCCAAUUAACUAGCCCAGCACAAACGGUCUAAUUUAGUUCAAUAACAGGAUUCCGCCUUUUUCUAUUUCUUUUUCUUUUUUUUUUUUUCCGCGCUCUUCUUUUUCUUUUUUUAUUGUUUAGCUUUUUUGCUACCUGUUUUUUUUUUUUUUUUUUUCCUCCUGAAGGCCUUUCUAUAGUUAAGUUUUUUCUGUAGCUAAGUUGGUGACUCUUAAUGAAUGAGGUGGGUAACAUACUAUUUCCUCUAAAAAAAAGAUCCUUUUAUUUGGCCAUCAUUUUCUCAUUUUGAGUUUUUAUAGUAAAAUGUUUGAUAAUUAGAAAAGUCUUUAGCUUUUGCUGUUGCCAAAAGUAGGAAAUUGAAUUUUGUUUUUCAGAAAAGAGGUUGAUUAAUUAUAGCACUCCUCCUAACAGAAGUUUUCCAGAUCAUGACCUGCUUCAUAAAAAAGCACUACAUCACAUGGUUGAGCUAAAUAGGUUCAUGAAAUUAUUCGAUGAAGUGUUAUUUGAAAGGUACUUUUAGAAAUUAAAGGAUCAUACUAAAACUCUCCAACAAGCAAAUUUUGGAGCUGCAAAUUAUAUGCUUAAUAUUUGCGGAUUAGAAUCUCACUUCAGCUUCCCAUCGCCACAUAUAUAUGUUUCAAACUUUUAUUUUCACCAAAAUAAUUAAGCCAAAUGUAUAAGCAGGUGAAGCAAGAAAAGAGUAACUUUAAGGGGAAAAAAAAACAAAAAAAGAAAAAAAAAUUAUGAGGUGGGAGUUACAUAUUCCGGACCCAAUGUAGGCUCGGAUCAAGCUAGGAUUCGGGCUCCAUUUGACUUCCAAGUGGAGCCUAAGAGUUCAACAAAACUAUUAAGAGAACUAAAAAGAAAAUUGUUAUUUAUGUACAUAUUUGUGAUGGGCAAUGGAGACUUAAUUAAUUAUCUUAUUAAACCCAGAAGAACAUAAUAUGCGAUUAGCACAGGCAUGGAAACAAGCGUUCCAAAGAUGAUCCUGCAAAGUUAAUCGACAUAAUUUAGAAUACUAAUUAAUUAAACCAAUCAAUCUUAUCAGAAUUCUAAAAUAAAAAUAUUUGCAGUUUAUUGAAGAGCUUACGCUGUACUGAGCACCUCAGCAUGCAAUCCAUACUCCUUUGCAAAAACAAAUGUGGCGAUCGAUUGAGGCAACGCAGCCUACACAAAAUAUAUUUGUUUGUGACAUUAAUUAGAUCACUAAUCCGCGAUAUAGUAUAUACAUCGUUUUUGUAAUUCAUAUAUAAUACUUGCAAAUAUAUAGAUUAUCAGAUAUUAUGGAAUUUUAGAGCAGUGUACACAUCAAUUGACUACUGGACUAAACCCCUAACUAGUUACCGAAAAAAAAUUAUGUGCAACCUGUAUGAUAACCAGAUGCAAGACGUCCCCGCGGAGUCCUACGGCGAUGGCUCCGACCGUGGCGGUCGCAGGUCCCACGAUAAACCGCAAAGCCAUUCCGACGACCGCCAAUCUCGGCCCGCACGCGAUCAACUUCUCUUGCAGUGCCAUGAAUUGUCCUAGACACCAGGACGAUGUCAAAAUUCUUGCAUGCUUCGCAAUACAAACUUUAGUCGAAAAUUUCAUUCUUAUUAAUUUAGAGGGAUAUAUAAAACUCGAUCUGCCUACCCAUGUUAAACAUAGCCAUUCCGGCACCGCCCCUCGACAUGAUCUGCACUGAUCCUUCGAUUACGCUCGGCAUCUCAAUGUGCCAUCUACAAACUCACGAAGAAGAUAAAUAUUUGAAUGUGUGCAAAUACUGAUGCUUAUUGUGCAAAAUGAAAAACAUAUAUAAAUUGGUUUUAUGGAGUUGAAAAAUUAAGUAGUUAUGGACAAAUCCUAAUUGAAAACAAAAAAAAAAAAAAAAAAAAAAAAAAAAAAAAAAAAAAAUUGAACAACAAUUUAUUUAAAUUUACUCCCAUUCUAAGAUCAAAAUUUUGCUGCUCACCUGCUGGCAAUGAAGGACCAAGUGAUGCCGACCAUGCUUGCGCAGAAUUUUGGAUUGACUGCGAACUUAAGCCAGACUGUCUUCAUCAGCACCCGAAAUGACACUGCAGUACUCGUUGUCUGCACUUCCGCGCCCUCCUCAAUAUCUUUAGUGACCUGCUUCCAUGAAAAUAAUAAUCUAAGAGGAAAAAUUAAAACGAAAAAAAUAAAGAUUGGAGAUCAAAAACAAUAGAGAAGUGCUGGUCUCAAUCCACCCCCUCUCAUCCAAAAGCUAGCCUAUGUUUCUUUACUUGUUUUCUUUCGCUUUUUCUUUAAAAAACUAAAAACUGAAAAAAAAGAAAAAAGGAUAUUGGUAAAUUUUAUAAUACUUGGAUGGAAGAAAGUAGAGAUUAGAAUCCUUUUUUUAGUAUAAAUUUAAUAUUUCUCUUUCUGAAAAUAAAAAACUGCGUACAUGGAACUAUAUAUUAGCUAUUUAUUAUUGAGUAAAUUAAAUAGAUUCAACUUUCUACCGAGUUAUAAUAAAUUUAGAAGACUAAUAAGAUGAGUUGGGUUAGUCCAAAUUAAAGUUGAGUGGGACCGUGGUACAUAAUAAAUCUUACGGCAAGAGGUCUAAUAAUAAACUUAACGUAUAGGUUGAGUCUAAUCGAAACCCAUGAGUAGUACUAUAGUUGAGCUUUUAAAUGCGAUAAAUAAGUUCUUUCUAUUAACAUGUGCUUUUGAAAUAGUUUGAUAGCAUUUACGAUUCACAGCAACUAUUAGAAAAUUUAAAGAAAAAAUUGACUCUUUCACAUUUGUAUAAUAUGGAAAUCCUUCUUCUCUUCAUUUCUUCCUGCAACAUUCAAACCAGAGAAGAAAUCACUAUUAUUAUUAUUAUUAUUAUUUUCUUCCAUGAUCUCUUUUCUCUUCUUCUUUACUGUUUUCUCUUCUUUCUAACGCGCUGAACUCUUUCGCAGUUUAGAUAAUGACCUUCUGCACGUUAUUAUAUUUGCUGUAAAGUUCUCUCAGUUCUGCUGAAAAAGAAGAAGAGGAAGAAGAAGAUCAAGAAACCGCAUACCGGCGGGCCAGGCGCGGUCGAAGAGGAGAAGCCAAGCCUCAUCUUCCUCAGCUCGAGGGCGAAGAGGAGCAUCGGCAUCCACACGGCGGCCUGCAGCACGGCGAGCUGCACCACCAGGUCCUGCGCCCACUUCCCGUACACGGCGCGCACCAGCGGCACCCCCACCACCAGCGUGUUGUUCAGCGUCGCCAGGGAGAACCCCGUCACCGCCCACCCCCCGCCCGAUCCGCCUUCCUUAUUCUUCCUCGCCGUCCUGCCGACGCACGCCGCCUGCGCGCACGCCAGCGCGGCGACCGUCACCGCCUUCGCGAUGGCGUCGGCCGCCAGCACGCGGUAGUUCAUGGCCAGCGGGUUCGUGUGGACCGUGAAGUCGAAGGAGAAGAAGGGGAGGGUGAAGAGCGUCACCAGGCGGUUGACGACGUCGCAUUGCUCCGGCGUGAACACCUUCCACCACCUCACCGACCCGUAGCCGAGCACCAGCGCCACGUACAGCGGCACCAUCGCCGCCGCCACCUUGUACACGUCCCCCCACCCUAUCAUCCUCUCUCUUUCCCUCUCUCUCUCUCUCUCUAGUGAUCAGUUACGUAAACUACUAUUGCUUUUGCUUUGCAAGAGUGGUUUGCAUGCAAGGGUUAAGGGUUGAUAUAUAUAUAUAUACAUAUGCGUGGUUCUCGGUAGCAUUUAUUAGAGAAAAACGGGCAUCUUUCCCAUGUAAUAGAAGUCCACGUACGUCUAGGAUCUACGGUGCAAACGUGGUUUGUGUGCUGGAGAUGAAGGGUUGGUCAUUCCAAUGGAAAAGGUGGUUUGGAACAUUAGAAUAUCAUUUAGUGAUUGAAUGAGGAGUGAGGAAGAGAGGAGGGAUAAAAUUAGCUAGAGACUUUAGUUGACGCAUGUUGUCGCAUGUGCUUAUGCAAUGUUGUCCAUUAAUUACAAUACGUAUAUACUUCCAAAAGCACGGAGAUCAGGUUCGUGGUCGUAAAUUAUUUUUAAUAAUAAAAUAUACAAUCGGUUUUAAUUAAAUAUAAUCUAUUUCUCUACAUGAAAGGAGGGUUUGGGGGGGCCUUGGGGUGACACGUGUCCCUCCAAACCCCCCUUUACACUCUCUCUCCCUCUAUAUAUAUUAUUAAUAUAUAUAUAUAUAUAUAUAUAUAUAUAUAUAUAUAUAUUGAUAUCAAAAUUUAAAAUUUUAAAUCUCUAAACUCUAUGAAAUUAAUUAAUUAAUUAAUUAUAUUAAUAAAUUCAUUGUAUAUAAUAUAAUUAAUUAAUAUUAUUAAUAAUACACGUAAUAAAUCGCAUAAUAAAAUCUAAUUUGAUCGAUGUAUAAAAAAAUACAUAAUUUAAAUUUGAGGAGUAAGAUUUUAGAAAUAUAGUGCGUAUGUGUAUAUAUAUAAUUAAUUUUAUUAAACAAAUUCUUCCAUUAUUUUAUUUCCCUUCUAUUUAUUUUUUUAAAUUAUUUUGAUAUAUUUAUCACAAAUCUUUUUUCGCAUAAAUCUUUAUAAAAUAAGUUGUCGUUUUAAUAAAUUUUAUUUAAAUAAAAUUAACUAUUAAAUUAUUUUUAUAUAACUUUUAUUUAAUUAAUAAUUAGACUUAUACAAUUAUUUAAAAAUAUAAAAAACUAAAAUUUAUUAAAAAAAUUUUAAAUCCGCAGCAUCGCGCGGGUAUUUCACUAGUUUACACUAUUAGAAAGUAAACAAAUAGGCAAAAGCAGUAAACAGAGACCAAACAUGACCUACUUUUGCUUUCCAAAUCAUGGGGCUGUUCUUUCUCAUAGUGAAGGAACUUUUCAAACCCAGGAUAACAUGCACUCAGAUGUGUGCAUGUCUUAAUUUGGCCAUUUAAGCUGAGCAUAAAAGCACUUCUAGCAGUAUCUAUCUGACUUUUGUACUGUAAAUGGGCAGCUAAGAGAGAGAGAGAGGACACUAAGUAUGGAGCACUAAUGAGGGUCUUUAUUGCGCCUUGCUUGUAUACUAAUUUGUCUAUAGUAGGAAGCAAACAAAGUAAAGCCAAAUUUUGGCCUUUGUGUCAUUUAAAUCUUUUUGGCAUCUGUUCUUGAACUUACUUAAAGAGGUUGAUAUAAAAAAAAAGGGCUUCAAAAAUGGCCUUAGUGUAUAUCUCUAUUCGCAUUCGUUUUGAAGAUCAAACAAGUGAUAAUAUGUGCACCGACAGAAGAAAUAAUAGAAGGGAAAACAAAUACGACCUGCGCCUAUUAAAGCGUGAUUGUGGGAAUUAAACUUAAGACAUGUUGGGAUCAAGAGCGUUUUGGAUCGACUUUGAUAGCAUGCCAUGCACCCAGAAGAACUGAUAAGAUAUGCUUUAAAUGAUCCUCGAGAUCAAAUUCCUUACCAAUUUCAUGUUGAGAUCGAAUUACUAAUUAAAAAUAGUGGAUUUCCAAGUCAUCUACCAUUAGAGAAUGUUUCUAGCGAAAUGUUUAUUAUGUUGCCCUUCCAAGUCAUUUACCACAAAAAAUUGAUGCUUUUUGUAUCUUUCCAUGUUGAUUUGAGUUGGAACUACUGCAAUUAAUGUUUAGUUCUUCCCAUGAAUAAUAAUAGUGUAACCUGAUAGAAGAGUCAAAUAGCAGCAAAGUAAAGGUCUUAAUUAGAACAUGAAUAGUAGUAGAACUUAACAAUUCCUAUUACUCUGAAUCUUCCUCUUACUUGUGGGCUAAUUUCAUUUUUAAGCCAUGAUUUUAAUUUGGAUUGAAUGUAAUUAAAUUAAAAUCCUAAAAUUUAUUAUACAUAAAGGUGUAUAAUUUAGUAAAUGUAGCAAGCAAAUACUCCACACGUAUGAUGACGUCUCAUUUUGCUCAAAACUUGUAACUCCAGAUAUUCAUAAAAAUUUGAAUAUUACAAAUCACAUCUAUCAAAUUAGAUUAUAACCAUCUAUCAACGAUUGCAAUGUAUAAAGUGUGCAUAUACCCCUGUUGGUCGCUUGGUUGGUAAAGCAAUAUUUAGGGAAUGUUUGGUAGAUUGUAAUUAACUACACUGAUGUAAGCAUAUCGUGUUAGAGAUUUAUAUCUCUUAGGGUGCGUUUGAUUCGCAUUAUGAAAGAUUACUAGGAAUAAAAGAUAUCCGAGAAUCUUAUUCCUAUUCAUCCUAUUACUAAGAAUGUGGAAUUCAUGUGUUUGGUUCGCACGGUAAUAUUAAUUAGCCAUGUUAUUUAAUAUUACAAAAAAUAUACAAUUAAUUAAUUAAUUUAUUUAUUUAAUUUUAAAUAAUGUUACCAAAAGUUUCAACAUCUUUUUAGAAAAAAGAGAGAGAGUAUAAGUUAGAGAGAGAGAGCAUAAUAAAAAAAAUAGAAAGAAAAAUAUAGUCGAAAUUAGAGGGAGUGAGAGAGUUGAAAUUUUAGAAAGAGAGAGAGAGAGAAAGCUUAGUUUAGAGAGAGAAAAAAAAGUUGAAUUUUAGAGAGAAAAAUAAGUUUAGAGAGAGAUAUAAGGUUAGAGUGUAAAGAAAAAUAAUAUCAAUUAGCCGGCGGGUAGGAAGAAAAAAAGAGAUUAGACAUAUUAUGAUUACCCCAAUCCAUUAAUAUGAGGAUACCCACCCCCCUCAAGGGAAUGAGAUUAGUACUUUGGGGUGAAUCUUAUUUCCAAGUGAAUCCAAUAUUACCAACUAGAUUACUUAGUGCGUUUAGCCAAACACCGUCAUAUUUUUUUAUUCCCAUUGGAUUACUAGGAAUCUUUAAAAGAUAGCGCGAACCAAACGCACCCUUAACGUAAUGACAAGACCAAGCCCAACCUAUUGAGAGUCAUGUUAAUGGGCUAAGACCCAGUUAAGCCCAAAAUACUUUGUUUAUUUAGCCCGAUAACGGGUCCGCCUGUUUAGACAUGAUUUUUUUUUUUUUUUUUGGUUCACUUUCGAUAAAUAGAAAAGCCUUUUAACUUCCCCUAUCGCCUAUCGGCUAAUCGGUAAGUAAAGUCAAUUUCACUGUAGGUUCGGAUCAAGCUAGGGUUCGAGCUCGCACAUUGGCGUAAUUGGCUCGACCCAAACCCCAAAUCCCGACUCGAUGUGUUGUUUCUUGCCCCAAAAGCUAACCCUCGUGACAAAACGCGAAUAAGUGAAGAAGACGACGAAGUAACACACCACACCACACCACACACCGUUUCUCCAUCGUCGUCGUCGUCCUCCUCCUCCUCAAACCCUCGAAACCCUCCUCGGCAAUGGCUCUGCGGCGCGAUUGGGUAUACGAGAACAAUGGCGGGUACUCAGAUCUCUCCCCCCAAUCUCUCUCUCUCUCUCUCUCUCUCUCUCUCUCUCUACAUGUGACGAGGUGGUGGUGUCGCAGGACGUGCGUGGCGAUCGCGGGCGCCGACUACUGCGUGGUGGCGGCGGACAUGAGGCUCUCGGUCGGAUACAGCAUCCUCACCCGCGACCACUCCAAGAUCUGCGAACUGUACGUGAUUUCCCUUUUUUUUUUAUAUAUCCCGUGUACCCUCUCUUUGAUCGAUUCGUUAUUUUGGGUCUUAGGGUUUGCUGUCUGAUCUUAGUUGAUUCGACGAAGAUUCUAAUUGUCGAUAAGAUUUAAUCGUGACUAUGGUGACGAAGACGAAGUUCGAUUGAAAGGGGAAAGGAGACACCUUUUUGUAAGGUUAACCUUAAAUAAUUUAUCUUUGUAUGGUGACAAUAAUUGGAGUUGUUUCGAGGAGGAAGUCGAUUUUGCUUGAUGCAGGGGUUGAAGAGAUUCAGGCAAAAUAGAAAUUUUAGAUCAGUCAAAUGGCCCUAUUGUUGUUGGAAUUUACUCUAUGAUUACCUUUACAUGGGGAUGAUGUUUGUUAAUUUAGGGUUUUUAGUUUAAUCUUAAUUGUGCUAGGAAAGGAUUAGUUUUGUUUGAGUGGAGAUAGAUAAAAAUUGCGUGU